RNA transcript from Phoenix dactylifera (date palm), 2067 nucleotides. It is a transcript of the gene named RNA-binding protein 1-like, with no coding region annotated. The record is from RefSeq and is a predicted model, not a curated record. NCBI's taxonomy places the organism in Eukaryota, Viridiplantae, Streptophyta, Magnoliopsida, Arecales, Arecaceae.
UCGAGCUCUCUCGCCCCCCGACCCGAAUUCUAAAACCCUUGCGCGGUUACGCCCCCUGUUCUCCUUUCCUCGAGUCCUUCUGCCCCCCGCCUCCCAACUCCCCCAUCCAGGGCUUCUCCAAUAUCUCUCGCCUGGUCUCUAGGGUUUUUAGGCGGUCGAGGGGGGGCCUUGGGUGAUGGGGGAGAUGGAGCCGUCGUCGUCGGCGCCGUCGCGGGCGGCGGAGCAGGGGAAGCUCUUCGUCGGUGGGAUCUCGUCGGAGACGAGGGAGGAGGCUCUUGCGGAGCACUUUAGGAAGUACGGGGAGGUAAAGGAGGUGGUGGUCAUGAGGGACAGGACCACGGGUAACUGCCGGGGUUUCGGGUUCGUCCAAUUUUUGGAUCCGGAGGCGGCGGAGAGGGUUCUUCAGGAAAAGGAGAAGCACGCCAUUCUUGGGAGAACGGUAGAGGUGAAGAAAGCCAUGCCCAGAUCUAAACAACAUCACCAAUCCCCCCACCACCAAUACGCAACUCAGAGCCCCUAUCAUAGUAGAGGGUCGAGCAGGAACAGUGCCAACAAUAACAGUAGCAACGGGAAUCACCCUCAAUCGAAGAAGAUUUUUGUAGGUGGUUUGUCUGAUAAUAUCACAGAAGAUGAUUUCAAGAAUUACUUUCAGAACUUUGGUGUGAUAACAGAUGUGGUUGUGAUGUAUGAUAGUGUAACCCACCGGCCAAGAGGCUUUGGCUUCAUCACCUUUGAUUCCGAGGAGGCUGUGGAAAAUGUAAUGCAGAAAAGUUUCCAUGAGUUGAAUGGUAAAUAUGUGGAGGUCAAGAUAGCAGUGCCAAAGGAUGGGAAUAAUCAUAGCAAUAACAGCAAUCGUGAUAAUAAUAAUUAUAACUCACGAAUGAUGGGUGGAAGAGGACCUGUACUUAGUAAUCACCCAGGUGGGAUUUACUCACCUUACACUCCUAGGUAUGGGUUUUUUCAUGGUUAUGCACCACCACCUUUUUAUGCUUAUGGUGGUAGUUAUCAUGGAGGAUAUACUAUUGGAAGCUAUGGUGGGAUUGGUUAUGGAGGUCCAAUUCCAGUCCCAAGGGGCUUUUGGAAUGUUCAGGGAUUGAUGGCCUCAAGGCACAGUCUGGUGCCCAAUACUGCUAUGUAUCCUGGUUACAUCAAUGGAAGCUUUGGUGGCAGUUUUCGUGGGGUUGCUGCUUUCGAUAAUGGCAAGGGGAAUCAAAUCAGCUCUGAUGUGCAAACACCAGUUGUUCCUAGUACGGCACCAUCUCAAGUUGAAUCUGUGAAGUUGGAAGCUGAGUAACAUCUUGGAUGUUACCUUUCCUCGUGCGCUCAACAUGGGUGUUCUUGCAUUGUAGCUGGGAUGGCACCCUGGUGCUUCCUCACCAUGAUCAUCAGGAGCACCUUUUCCUCAGCCCAUGUCUAGCUGAUAUUUUCUUCAGCUAGCAGCCUAAUUUCAUUAAGAUGGGGGUCUCUCUUAAGUUUCUUCAACACUUGGAAUCACUUGCAAGAUGGAUGCUGGCAGCAGUAACUGCAGCUUAUGGGUUAAUGUAACUUUGUGUUAGAAUCCAAUGAGGUAUUGAGCUGUCCAUUAAAGAUCCUGAGAAAAAGAAAGACUGGGUGUUUGAAUAAACCUCAGCCCAAUGCUUCUUGAAAGCAUCAAAUUUCCUCAGCCCAAUGCUUCUUGAACAUGAUGUGGGAAGGGCAACAAGCGUGGGAGUCAAGGAGAACUGCAAACUUGCGAGCUGAUGCGUCUAUCUGCCAUAUGUUACCACUUGAGAUUAAUUUCUUGUGCCUUUAAGUUAGCCAUCAGAAUCUAGCUUCCCCUCACAUACGUGGUGGGUGUGGUGAGCUUGCUUUGCUGAGUUAUGGAGGAUGUGAUUUGAGAAUAAAAGUAACAAGUUUACUGGGAUGCAUGCUUGGGAUGAAGAGGGAAUGACCACUCCAAGAUUGGGAAUGGUUGUAGGUGCGGAUGGUGAGACUGUCGAUGCAGCUAAUGAUCACCCCCCUUAUUGUUGGUGGGUGAACAAGAGAGGCCAGGGCCUUUUAAUAAAGGAGUGUAAUUGACAUUGCUUA